GUAAAGGCUCCUUUUGGAGCCUUUAAUUUAAAAAAAAAAAUGUAA
Pterocles gutturalis (yellow-throated sandgrouse) is the source of this 45-nucleotide non-coding RNA. Lineage: Eukaryota; Metazoa; Chordata; Aves; Pterocliformes; Pteroclidae. The record is from Rfam.